RNAcentral lists this ribosomal RNA (471 nucleotides) under Burkholderia cenocepacia. RNAcentral's name for it is "bacterial SSU rRNA". It matches the Rfam family "Bacterial small subunit ribosomal RNA", at positions 21 to 484 of the family's 1533-position model. Lineage: Bacteria; Pseudomonadati; Pseudomonadota; Betaproteobacteria; Burkholderiales; Burkholderiaceae. The record is from RNAcentral.
GGCUCAGAUUGAACGCUGGCGGCAUGCCUUACACAUGCAAGUCGAACGGCAGCACGGGUGCUUGCACCUGGUGGCGAGUGGCGAACGGGUGAGUAAUACAUCGGAACAUGUCCUGUAGUGGGGGAUAGCCCGGCGAAAGCCGGAUUAAUACCGCAUACGAUCCACGGAUGAAAGCGGGGGACCUUCGGGCCUCGCGCUAUAGGGUUGGCCGAUGGCUGAUUAGCUAGUUGGUGGGGUAAAGGCCUACCAAGGCGACGAUCAGUAGCUGGUCUGAGAGGACGACCAGCCACACUGGGACUGAGACACGGCCCAGACUCCUACGGGAGGCAGCAGUGGGGAAUUUUGGACAAUGGGCGAAAGCCUGAUCCAGCAAUGCCGCGUGUGUGAAGAAGGCCUUCGGGUUGUAAAGCACUUUUGUCCGGAAAGAAAUCCUUGGCCCUAAUACAGGCCGGGGGAUGACGGUACCGAAGA